CUAGCGUGGUUCGGAAUUACUGGGCGUAAAGCGUACGUAGGCGGCUUUGUAAGUUAGAGGUGAAAGCCCGGGGCUCAACUCCGGAAUUGCCUUUAAGACUGCAUCGCUUGAAUCAUGGAGAGGUGAGUGGAAUUCCGAGUGUAGAGGUGAAAUUCGUAGAUAUUCGGAAGAACACCAGUGGCGAAGGCGACUCACUGGACAUGUAUUGACGCUGAGGUACGAAAGCGUGGGGAGCAAACAGG
Molecule: ribosomal RNA, 242 nt
Filed under: uncultured bacterium
Lineage: Bacteria
Description: partial 16S ribosomal RNA
Rfam family: Bacterial small subunit ribosomal RNA
Source: RNAcentral